UCGGUCUCUGAGUAGAGCGGCGCACGGGUGAGUAACGCGUGGAUGAUCUACCCUUGAGUUCGGGAUAACGGUGCGAAAGCGCCGCUAAUACCGUAUAACAAUCCAUUUCAUCGUGGGUUCAAAGCAGGCCUCUUCAUGAAAGCUUGCGCUUGGGGAUGAGUCCGCGUCCCAUUAGCUUGUUGGCGGGGUAACGGCCCACCAAGGCAACGAUGGGUAGCUGGUCUGAGAGGAUGAUCAGCCACACUGGAACUGAAACACGGUCCAGACUCCUACGGGAGGCAGCAGUGGGGAAUAUUGCGCAAUGGGGGAAACCCUGACGCAGCGACGUCGUGUGAGGGAAGAAGGCCUUCGGGUCGUAAACCUCUGUCAGAAGGGAAGAACCGCCAGGAGUCGAAUAGGCUCUUGGUCUGACGGUACCUUCAGAGGAAGCGCCGGCUAACUCCGUGCCAGCAGCCGCGGUAAUACGGAGGGCGCAAGCGUUAAUCGGAAUCACUGGGCGUAAAGCGUGCGUAGGCUGCUUGAUAAG
RNAcentral lists this ribosomal RNA (526 nucleotides) under uncultured delta proteobacterium. RNAcentral's name for it is "bacterial SSU rRNA". It matches the Rfam family "Bacterial small subunit ribosomal RNA", at positions 79 to 587 of the family's 1533-position model. The record is from RNAcentral. Lineage: Bacteria; Deltaproteobacteria.